RNAcentral lists this long non-coding RNA (1036 nucleotides) under Sorghum bicolor (sorghum). RNAcentral's name for it is "long non-coding RNA (SBIC_LNC003493)". The record is from RNAcentral. Lineage: Eukaryota; Viridiplantae; Streptophyta; Magnoliopsida; Poales; Poaceae.
GCCAUGUACUGCAGCUAAAUUUAAGAUAAGGAAAAUGGGUUUGAAAGGAAAUAAACUCACAAGCAGUGUAAAUAAUAUCAUUUGUCCUCGCAAAGAAAAAUACCAUUUGAGGUUGUUUUACGGUGCCUGGUAUAGAAAGCUGGUCAAGCCAAUGAUACUCCAAUCAAAGUUUAUAGUUUUCAAAAUAUUAUAUAUAAAAUAACGUGAUGCUUGAUUAGACUUUAAUUUCCUUCAAUUUUGGCACUUCCGAACAUGGUCUGAAUUCGGUAGCAUCUCAAUCCUGCAAAACCGUGAAGUUCAAAUUACAAGUUGAAAGGAGAAUGCUAGUAAAAAAUAAAUUAAUCAAAUAACUGAGCAAUGAAAUCAAGGAGUCCUCACAGUGUGAUUUUGAAUUGUUCAAUUUCACCGGCAAAGGCGGACAACCCUUGCCUCCCACUCCAUUGUCAGAACUGGAUGUUCGAUUUAAUUAAAGAACUAAUCAAACAGUGAAACAAGAUUCAUAAAUAAAGCAUAACAACAAUAUACGUAAAAGCAAAAUUAAAAAUUAACUUAUUUUCGUCUAUACUUCAUGUCUGGAUUACUAACCUGCAAGGUAAGAAGCAGGCAACUGCACCUCAUUGUGGGUGAGCUCACGGAGAAGAAGACAGAUGCGCAAUGCCUGAUGCCUUUGUUGGACAGGAUUCAGAUUUUUCAGAGCAGCACCGCAAGGCUUUCCUUGCGCUUCCAAGCAGAGCAGCUGCUAAUCCUGGCAUAGUGGCAUUGCUAUUUGCCUAAUCUGCACAUUUGAAAUUAGGGGGCAAAAGUUCUAUAGCACACUGCACCCACAGCACAUGCUGUGCUGACUGCCGACACAGCAGCGCGUUUUCUCCCUCGCUCGCUCUAAUUUCAGUUCUUAGCAAGUCAGUCGGCAUAUCGCAGGGGCUUAAAUGGAGCGUCAAAUGUCCGUGUGGUCGGGUCGUGAGCAACGCACCUUGUGGUCAGAUUCAGAGGCGGAGGCGAGUGCGAGCAGGGCAGCGAUGGUGAUGGUGAGGCCGAG